UUACACUAAAAAUAUAACAUGUCUUUAUUAACCAUGUCUCUGCAUAUUCAAUUUAAGCAUAUUCAACUUGAUAUUCUUGGAAAGUUUAGUUAAGUUCUUGUUAUAAUCUUAUAUUUUACGUAUUAGUUAUAAGGAUAGCUCUUCAAACAUCUUUCAAAUUACUUGUUUUCUUAGCAUAAAUCUCGAAAAGCUUAUAUAUAUUUAAUCUGCAUAUUCAUUUAGUUUUUUUCAUAAUAAUCGUCUAAUUUUUAGACAAGAAAUAUGUGUAACAUGUUUGGAUUUUAUCAUCACUUUAACCACUUAAGUGGAUCUCAAAAUUAAAGAGGAUAUAUUGAAUUAAAAAAUGUAAAAAGAGUGAUGGUUCAAGUUCUCAUUAAUUAUAUCCUCCUAUUUUAGUUGUUAUGUUGAAUUAAUUACUAAUUAUGUAUUACUUAUUUUAUGAAGUCUAGGUGGCAAGCUCCUCAUGUGCUGAUUUGUCAAGUUGUGGAAGAGAGUUAGCUUUCUUUCAUAUAUAUAUGAUUGUUAUACAUGUUUUAACAUCAUUUUACAACUAACUUUCUUU
Molecule: small RNA, 562 nt
Filed under: Arabidopsis thaliana (thale cress)
Lineage: Eukaryota; Viridiplantae; Streptophyta; Magnoliopsida; Brassicales; Brassicaceae
Description: ATSL250930
Source: RNAcentral